CCUACGGGAGGCAGCAGUGGGGAAUAUUGGACAAUGGGGGGAACCCUGAUCCAGCCAUGCCGCGUGUGUGAAGAAGGCCCUCGGGUUGUAAAGCACUUUCAGUGAGGAAGAACGCCUGGUGGUUAAUACCCAUCAGGAAAGACAUCACUCACAGAAGAAGCACCGGCUAACUGCGUGCCAGCAGCCGCGGUAAUACGGAGGGUGCGAGCGUUAAUCGGAAUUACUGGGCGUAAAGCGCGCGUAGGUGGCUUGAUAAGCCGGUUGUGAAAGCCCCGGGCUCAACCUGGGAACGGCAUCCGGAACUGUCAAGCUAGAGUGCAGGAGAGGAAGGUAGAAUUCCCGGUGUAGCGGUGAAAUGCGUAGAGAUCGGGAGGAAUACCAGUGGCGAAGGCGGCCUUCUGGACUGACACUGACACUGAGGUGCGAAAGCGUGGGUAGCAAACAGGAUUAGAUACCCCAGUAGUC
RNAcentral lists this ribosomal RNA (465 nucleotides) under Vreelandella stevensii. RNAcentral describes it as "partial 16S ribosomal RNA". It matches the Rfam family "Bacterial small subunit ribosomal RNA", at positions 338 to 795 of the family's 1533-position model. The record is from RNAcentral. Lineage: Bacteria; Pseudomonadati; Pseudomonadota; Gammaproteobacteria; Oceanospirillales; Halomonadaceae.